RNAcentral lists this ribosomal RNA (1137 nucleotides) under Triticum aestivum (bread wheat). RNAcentral's name for it is "partial small subunit ribosomal RNA". The record is from RNAcentral. Lineage: Eukaryota; Viridiplantae; Streptophyta; Magnoliopsida; Poales; Poaceae.
AUUGCUUCUUUUCUUGGGGGACAUCGAUUGAAGAGUUUUGCUCAACGCCUGUCUGUUGGAACCCGAGGCGGAAUCCUUCUUCUCUGGGACGAAAAUUUUGUCAAAAUCCAAGAUGUGAACAUUGGUGCUUUCUUCCUCUCGGCCAAAGUCUCCCUCUCCUCGUCGGGUGAAUCCUUCAAGCUCAGAACCGUGUACGGCCCGACGAGAAGCAACCUCAAAGACGACUUCUUCCAAGAGUUGGUGAGUGAGAAGCGCCACCCUGGCGAAAGGUGGUUGGUUAAUGGUGAUUUUAAUAAAAUUUACCGAGCGAGAGACAAGAAUCGUGCAAACGUUGACCGAAGUCGCAUCGUUCGCUUCCGUAACGCCCUCAAUGCGUGCGAGCUAAAAGAGAUACAUCUUCAAAACAGGAAGUUCACAUAGAGUAACGAGCGAAACGACCCAACCUUAAGCAAGCUAGAUUCCUUUUUCUACAAUGAAGAAUGGGACCUACACUUCGGCACACACCUCCUACAUGCUCUCGCAUCGUCACUCUCAGACCAUUGCCAUCUCCUCCUCGCAAAUGACAAAGGACCGCCUAGGACCAAAUCAUUCCGCUUUGAAAACUUUUGGAUCAAGAUGCCCAGAUUCAAGGAGGUCGUCAACAGUGCAUGGAACCAAGAGGUGAACCAUGUAGAUCCUUACCACAUCCUCUUCCACAAGAUGAAGAAGACAAGUCAGGUGCUUAGGAAAUGGAGCAAGACAAUUUUUGCGCAUUCAAAGCUACAAAUACAAAUGGCUCUUGAGGUCAUCCUCCGUAUGGAUGUGGCCCAAGAAUGUCGUCCUUUGAGUGCAGAAGAGUUGGAUAUUCAUAGGAGACUCAAGCGCAAGGUGGUUAGCUUGUCCGUGCUCGCGCAAGCGUGGAAAAGGCAAUGCUCGAGAAUUACCAAUCUCAAAGAUGGAGAUGCCAACACUCGUUUCUUUCACCUCCGACUGAAUCAUAGAAGGCGCCAGAAUUCCAUACACCAUCUUAGGCAUAACAAUGGAUGGGUCACAGAGCAUGAGCAUAAAAAUCCAUCAUCCAAAACCAUCUCGCGGAGGUCACCAAGAGAGGGGCAUCCUGCAGCAUUAACAUCUAACCCCCGCUUGCGAUCUCUCUGA